This 76-nucleotide transfer RNA is filed under the name Pseudomonadales bacterium. RNAcentral describes it as "tRNA-Lys". It matches the Rfam family "tRNA". From Rfam's summary of the family: Transfer RNA (tRNA) molecules are approximately 80 nucleotides in length. Their secondary structure includes four short double-helical elements and three loops (D, anti-codon, and T loops). Further hydrogen bonds mediate the characteristic L-shaped molecular structure. tRNAs have two regions of fundamental functional importance: the anti-codon, which is responsible for specific mRNA codon recognition, and the 3' end, to which the tRNAs corresponding amino acid is attached (by aminoacyl-tRNA synthetases). tRNAs cope with the degeneracy of the genetic code in two manners: having more than one tRNA (with a specific anti-codon) for a particular amino acid; and 'wobble' base-pairing, i.e. permitting non-standard base-pairing at the 3rd anti-codon position. The record is from RNAcentral. Lineage: Bacteria; Pseudomonadati; Pseudomonadota; Gammaproteobacteria; Pseudomonadales. RNAcentral also lists the same sequence under 1 other name.
GGGCGGUUAGCUCAGUUGGUAGAGCAGCGGGCUUUUAACCCGUGGGUCGAGGGUUCGACCCCCUCACCGCCCACCA